Non-coding RNA from Acanthosepion pharaonis, 113 nucleotides. Lineage: Eukaryota; Metazoa; Mollusca; Cephalopoda; Sepiida; Sepiidae. The record is from the annotation of a GenBank genome assembly.
UACGGUUAUAUCACGUAGAAACAUUGGUUCCCGUACGUUCGUGGAAGUUAAGCAACGUCGAUCUUGCUCAGUACCUACAUGUGUGACCGCUUGGGAAUACCAGAUGCUGUAAG